UUGUCGAUCGACGGCAGGUGUAGGCCGCCUGCAAGGCGGCCUGGCGUCCGGUUCGCAGCCGGGUUCGCAAG
RNAcentral lists this transfer RNA (71 nucleotides) under Ralstonia solanacearum. RNAcentral describes it as "tRNA-Cys". The record is from RNAcentral. Lineage: Bacteria; Pseudomonadati; Pseudomonadota; Betaproteobacteria; Burkholderiales; Burkholderiaceae.